GGGCCCGUGGUCUAGCUGGUUAUGACGUCGCCUUGACACGGCGGAGGUCUCCGGUUCGAAUCCGGACGGGCCCA
RNAcentral lists this transfer RNA (74 nucleotides) under Candidatus Mnemosynella bozhongmuii. Its description in RNAcentral is "tRNA-Val". It matches the Rfam family "tRNA". Rfam says of the family: Transfer RNA (tRNA) molecules are approximately 80 nucleotides in length. Their secondary structure includes four short double-helical elements and three loops (D, anti-codon, and T loops). Further hydrogen bonds mediate the characteristic L-shaped molecular structure. tRNAs have two regions of fundamental functional importance: the anti-codon, which is responsible for specific mRNA codon recognition, and the 3' end, to which the tRNAs corresponding amino acid is attached (by aminoacyl-tRNA synthetases). tRNAs cope with the degeneracy of the genetic code in two manners: having more than one tRNA (with a specific anti-codon) for a particular amino acid; and 'wobble' base-pairing, i.e. permitting non-standard base-pairing at the 3rd anti-codon position. The record is from RNAcentral. Lineage: Archaea; Methanobacteriati; Methanobacteriota; Archaeoglobi; Candidatus Mnemosynellales; Candidatus Mnemosynellaceae.